This 1370-nucleotide ribosomal RNA is filed under the name uncultured bacterium. RNAcentral describes it as "partial 16S ribosomal RNA". It matches the Rfam family "Bacterial small subunit ribosomal RNA", at positions 28 to 1380 of the family's 1533-position model. The record is from RNAcentral.
GACGAACGCUGGCGGCGUGCCUAAUACAUGCAAGUAGAACGCUGAAGAGAAGAGCUUGCUCUUCUUGGAUGAGUUGCGAACGGGUGAGUAACGCGUAGGUAACCUGCCUGGUAGCGGGGGAUAACUAUUGGAAACGAUAGCUAAUACCGCAUGAUAUUGAAUAUCGCAUGAUAAUUGAUUGAAAGGUGCAAUUGCAUCACUACCAGAUGGACCUGCGUUGUAUUAGCUAGUUGGUGAGGUAACGGCUCACCAAGGCGACGAUACAUAGCCGACCUGAGAGGGUGAUCGGCCACACUGGGACUGAGACACGGCCCAGACUCCUACGGGAGGCAGCAGUAGGGAAUCUUCGGCAAUGGGGGGAACCCUGACCGAGCAACGCCGCGUGAGUGAAGAAGGUUUUCGGAUCGUAAAGCUCUGUUGUAAGAGAAGAACGGGUGUGAGAGUGGAAAGUUCACACUGUGACGGUAUCUUACCAGAAAGGGACGGCUAACUACGUGCCAGCAGCCGCGGUAAUACGUAGGUCCCGAGCGUUGUCCGGAUUUAUUGGGCGUAAAGCGAGCGCAGGCGGUUAGAUAAGUCUGAAGUUAAAGGCUGUGGCUUAACCAUAGUAUGCUUUGGAAACUGUUUAACUUGAGUGCAGAAGGGGAGAGUGGAAUUCCAUGUGUAGCGGUGAAAUGCGUAGAUAUAUGGAGGAACACCGGUGGCGAAAGCGGCUCUCUGGUCUGUAACUGACGCUGAGGCUCGAAAGCGUGGGGAGNCAACAGGAUUAGAUACCCUGGUAGUCCACGCCGUAAACGAUGAGUGCUAGGUGUUAAGCCUCGGUCUGAGUUUAGUAGCGCAGUCAAUAAGAUAAUUCGCCCGCCGGGGGGGGCCGGCCGCCAGGAUAUCAAUCCAAUGAAUUGGCGGGGGGCCCCACCAGCGGAGGAAGAUGUUGUAUUAUUAGGUACCGCGAGAAGCACCCUCAGGCGUUGCCAUCACUUGUGACACUCCAGAGAAGAAGGAGUCCUUUCGGGAAGAAGCGACCAGGGGUGCAACGUUGUUGUCAACCCCUCGUCUGGAGAGGUGGGGUAAAAUCCCGCAAGGAGCGCACCCCCUUUCUUUAUUUGCCAUCAGUGAGAUGCCGCGCUCUAUAGGGACACCCCCUGAUACACCCGAGGAAGGGGGGGGGGAGGUGAAAUCAUCACACGCCCUAUGAGUCGGGGUACACACCGUGCUACAAUGGUGUGUACACAGAGUGGCAAGCCCGUGACGGCAAGCUAAUCUCUGAAAACCAGUCUCAGUUUCGAUUGUAGGCUGUAACUCGCCUACACGAAGUCGGGAUCGCUAGUAAUCGCGGAUCAGCACACCCCGGUGAAUACGUUUCCCGGCCC